GACGAACGCUGGCGGCGUGCCUAACACAUGCAAGUAGAACGCUGAAGAGAGGAGCUUGCUCUUCUUGGAUGAGUUGCGAACGGGUGAGUAACGCGUAGGUAACCUGCCUUGUAGCGGGGGAUAACUAUUGGAAACGAUAGCUAAUACCGCAUAACAAUAGGUGACACAUGUCAUUUAUUUGAAAGGGGCAAUUGCUCCACUACAAGAUGGACCUGCGUUGUAUUAGCUAGUAGGUGAGGUAACGGCUCACCUAGGCGACGAUACAUAGCCGACCUGAGAGGGUGAUCGGCCACACUGGGACUGAGACACGGCCCAGACUCCUACGGGAGGCAGCAGUAGGGAAUCUUCGGCAAUGGGGGCAACCCUGACCGAGCAACGCCGCGUGAGUGAAGAAGGUUUUCGGAUUGUAAAGCUCUGUUGUAAGUCAAGAACGAGUGUGAGAGUGGAAAGUUCACACUGUGACGGUAGCUUACCAGAAAGGGACGGCUAACUACGUG
Molecule: ribosomal RNA, 497 nt
Filed under: uncultured bacterium
Lineage: Bacteria
Description: partial 16S ribosomal RNA
Rfam family: Bacterial small subunit ribosomal RNA
Source: RNAcentral